This 814-nucleotide ribosomal RNA is filed under the name Karaftohelix takahidei. Its description in RNAcentral is "partial 16S ribosomal RNA". It matches the Rfam family "Archaeal large subunit ribosomal RNA", at positions 836 to 2710 of the family's 2987-position model. The record is from RNAcentral. Lineage: Eukaryota; Metazoa; Mollusca; Gastropoda; Stylommatophora; Camaenidae.
AAAGAGUUUAUAGACUGUAACUAGUGUGUAGUAUAAUGCUGGGAACAGGUGUAAUUAGGGGUGAUAGGCCUUUCAAAUACCAUGAUAUCUUGAUUGUGCCCAAACGUAUCUAGUACGCAAAACAAAUAUAAAGUGUUUAGGCUUUAUAUAAUCCCAAAUUUAAUUGAUAUGUUUUAAGGUUUAACCAUCUUUAAAUUAGAGUUAUUAAUAUUAAUAUUCCGUAUGUUGGGGGUUGUAGGUGCUUCUAUACUUAAUUAAACUUGAUAGUAAUAAUGUUACCAUAAGUAUUGGUUAAGGCGUUUUUAAUGAACUCGGCAAUAACUACUCUCAACUGUUUAUCAAAAACAUAGCUGUUUGAAAUUAAUAUACAGUUUUUUCUGCCCACUGUUUUAUAAAUGGCCGCAGUACUCUGACUGUGCAAAGGUAGCAUAAUCAAUUGGCUUAUAAUUGAAGUCUAGUAUGAAAGAAAAGAUGGGGGUAGACUAUAUAGAAGAUGCGAGGAAAAAUUACUCAAUAAGUGAAAAGACUUAUAUUUAAAUAAUAGACGAGAAGACCCUAGAAAUUUUGACAAUGUAUACAUAUAUAGGUUUUUGUUGGGGCGACACAGUAGCACUUAAACCUACUAAGAAAAAUAUGAUUUAAAUAUUACGAGUAAUUAAAUUACUCUAGGGAUAACAGCAUAAUAUUAAAAAGUUUGUGACCUCGAUGUUGGACUAGGAUACUACCGCCCAGAAGGUUGCUAGUUAGGCUCUGUUCGAGCUAUUACUCCUACAUGAUCUGAGUUCAGACCGGCGUAAGCCAGGUCAGUUUCUAA